GUGCUUGCUUCAGCAGCACAUAUACUAUAACUGGAAUGAUACAGAGUAGGUUAGCAUGGCCCCUGUUCAGGGAUGACACGCAAAUUCAUGAAGCAUUCCAUAUUUCC
This is a small nuclear RNA of Loxodonta africana (African savanna elephant), 107 nucleotides long. The record is from Ensembl. NCBI's taxonomy places the organism in Eukaryota, Metazoa, Chordata, Mammalia, Proboscidea, Elephantidae.